This is a transfer RNA of Auxenochlorella protothecoides, 74 nucleotides long. It matches the Rfam family "tRNA". Rfam says of the family: Transfer RNA (tRNA) molecules are approximately 80 nucleotides in length. Their secondary structure includes four short double-helical elements and three loops (D, anti-codon, and T loops). Further hydrogen bonds mediate the characteristic L-shaped molecular structure. tRNAs have two regions of fundamental functional importance: the anti-codon, which is responsible for specific mRNA codon recognition, and the 3' end, to which the tRNAs corresponding amino acid is attached (by aminoacyl-tRNA synthetases). tRNAs cope with the degeneracy of the genetic code in two manners: having more than one tRNA (with a specific anti-codon) for a particular amino acid; and 'wobble' base-pairing, i.e. permitting non-standard base-pairing at the 3rd anti-codon position. The record is from Rfam. Lineage: Eukaryota; Viridiplantae; Chlorophyta; Trebouxiophyceae; Chlorellales; Chlorellaceae.
AGCGGGGAAGAGCAAAUGGUUAGCUCGUCAGGCUCAUAAUCUGAAGGUUGUAGGUUCAAGUCCUACCCCCGCUC